CUUGUACUCCCUCCGUCCGAAAUACUUGUCAUUGAAAUGGAUGUAUCUAGAUGUAUUUUAGUUCUAGACACAUCCAUUUUGAUGACAAGUAAUUCCGGACGGAGGGAGUACUUG
This is a non-coding RNA of Triticum aestivum (bread wheat), 114 nucleotides long. Lineage: Eukaryota; Viridiplantae; Streptophyta; Magnoliopsida; Poales; Poaceae. The record is from Rfam.